UACGUAGGUGGCGAGCGUUAUCCGGAAUGAUUGGGCGUAAAGGGUGCGUAGGCGGACUGUUAAGUCAGCGGUAAAAGCCCGGGGCUCAACCCCGGCGAGCCGUUGAAACUGGCUGUCUUGAGAUGUCGAGAGGUAUGCGGAAUGCGCAGUGUAGCGGUGAAAUGCUUAGAUAUUGCGCAGAACUCCGAUUGCGAAGGCAGCAUACCGGCGGCGAUCUGACGCUGAGGCACGAAAGCGUGGGUAUCGAACAGG
RNAcentral lists this ribosomal RNA (252 nucleotides) under uncultured Bacteroidales bacterium. RNAcentral's name for it is "partial 16S ribosomal RNA". It matches the Rfam family "Bacterial small subunit ribosomal RNA", at positions 524 to 776 of the family's 1533-position model. Lineage: Bacteria; Pseudomonadati; Bacteroidota; Bacteroidia; Bacteroidales. The record is from RNAcentral.